GCAGUGGGGAAUAUUGCACAAUGGGCGCAAGCCUGAUGCAGCCAUGCCGCGUGUAUGAAGAAGGCCUUCGGGUUGUAAAGUACUUUCAGCAGUGAGGAAGGUGGUAGUGUUAAUAGCACUAUCAUUUGACGUUAGCUGCAGAAGAAGCACCGGCUAACUCCGUGCCAGCAGCCGCGGUAAUACGGAGGGUGCGAGCGUUAAUCGGAAUUACUGGGCGUAAAGCGCAUGCAGGUGGUUUGUUAAGUCAGAUGUGAAAGCCCGGGGCUCAACCUCGGAAUUGCAUUUGAAACUGGCAGACUAGAGUACUGUAGAGGGGGUAGAAUUUCAGGUGUAGCGGUGAAAUGCGUAGAGAUCUGAAGGAAUACCGGUGGCGAAGGCGGCCCCCUGGACAGAUACUGACACUCAGAUGCGAAAGCGUGGGGAGCAAACAGGAUUAGAUACCCUGGUAG
Molecule: ribosomal RNA, 449 nt
Filed under: uncultured bacterium
Lineage: Bacteria
Description: bacterial SSU rRNA
Rfam family: Bacterial small subunit ribosomal RNA
Source: RNAcentral